GUUGUAUGGUUAAGUGACUAAGCGUACACGGUGGAUGCCUUGGCAGUCAGAGGCGAUGAAAGACGUAGUAACUUGCGAUAAGCCCAGAUUAGGUAGUAACAACCAUUUGAGUCUGGGAUUUCUGAAUGGGGAAACCCACGUGCAUAAGCACGUAUCCUUACCUGAAUACAUAGGGUAAGGAGGCGAACCGGGGGAACUGAAACAUCUAAGUACCCCGAGGAAAAGAAAUCAACCGAGAUUCCGAAAGUAGCGGCGAGCGAAAUUGGACUAGCCCUUAAGCUUUACACGCGUUAGACGAACGGUCUGGAAAGUCCGACGAUACAGGGUGAUAGUCCCGUAGUUGACGACGUGUGUUCAGUGAAAUCGAGUAGGGCGGGACACGUGAUAUCCUGUCUGAAUAUGGGGGGACCAUCCUCCAAGGCUAAAUACUACUGACUGACCGAUAGUGAACCAGUACCGUGAGGGAAAGGCGAAAAGAACCCCUGUGAGGGGAGUGAAAUAGAACCUGAAACCGUGUACGUACAAGCAGUAGGAGCAGGCUUUGUCCUGUGACUGCGUACCUUUUGUAUAAUGGGUCAGCGACUUAUAUUCAGUGGCAAGGUUAACCAUCUAGGGGAGCCGUAGGGAAACCGAGUCUUAACUGGGCGUUCAGUCUCUGGAUAUAGACCCGAAACCAGGUGAUCUAGCCAUGGGCAGGUUGAAGGUUGAGUAACAUCAACUGGAGGACCGAACCGACUAAUGUUGAAAAAUUAGCGGAUGACUUGUGGCUAGGGGUGAAAGGCCAAUCAAACCUGGAGAUAGCUGGUUCUCCCCGAAAGCUAUUUAGGUAGCGCCUCGGACGAAUACUACUGGGGGUAGAGCACUGUUAAGGCUAGGGGGUCAUCCCGACUUACCAACCCUUUGCAAACUCCGAAUACCAGUAAGUACUAUCCGGGAGACACACGGCGGGUGCUAACGUCCGUCGUGGAGAGGGAAACAACCCAGACCGCCAGCUAAGGUCCCAAAUUACUACUAAGUGGGAAACGAUGUGGGAAGGCUCAGACAGCCAGGAUGUUGGCUUAGAAGCAGCCAUCAUUUAAAGAAAGCGUAAUAGCUCACUGGUCGAGUCGGCCUGCGCGGAAGAUGUAACGGGGCUAAGUAGUAAACCGAAGCUGCGGCAAUGUGCUUUUGCACAUUGGGUAGGGGAGCGUUCUGUAAGCGGUUGAAGGUGUGUGGUAACGCAUGCUGGACGUAUCAGAAGUGCGAAUGCUGACAUGAGUAACGAUAAAGGGGGUGAAAAACCUCCUCGCCGGAAGACCAAGGGUUCCUGUCCAACGUUAAUCGGGGCAGGGUAAGUCGACCCCUAAGGCGAGGCCGAAAGGCGUAGUCGAUGGGAAACGGGUUAAUAUUCCCGUACUUCUUACAAUUGCGAUGGGGGGACGGAGAAGGCUAGGUGGGCCUGGCGACGGUUGUCCAGGUUCAAGUGCGUAGGCUUAAGAGUUAGGUAAAUCCGACUCUUUUUAAGGCUGAGACACGACGUCGAGCACCUACGGGUGUGAAGUCAUUGAUGCCAUGCUUCCAGGAAAAGCCUCUAAGCUUCAGAUUGUAAGGAAUCGUACCCCAAACCGACACAGGUGGUCGGGUAGAGAAUACCAAGGCGCUUGAGAGAACUCGGGUGAAGGAACUAGGCAAAAUGGUACCGUAACUUCGGGAGAAGGUACGCUCUUGAUGGUGAAGUCCCUUGCGGAUGGAGCUAUUGAGAGUCGCAGAUACCAGGUGGCUGCAACUGUUUAUUAAAAACACAGCACUGUGCAAAAUCGUAAGAUGACGUAUACGGUGUGACGCCUGCCCGGUGCCGGAAGGUUAAUUGAUGGGGUUAGACUUCGGUCGAAGCUCUUGAUCGAAGCCCCGGUAAACGGCGGCCGUAACUAUAACGGUCCUAAGGUAGCGAAAUUCCUUGUCGGGUAAGUUCCGACCUGCACGAAUGGCGUAAUGAUGGCCACGCUGUCUCCACCCGAGACUCAGUGAAAUUGAAAUCGCUGUGAAGAUGCAGUGUACCCGCGGCUAGACGGAAAGACCCCGUGAACCUUUACUACAGCUUGGCACUGAACAUUGACCCUACAUGUGUAGGAUAGGUGGGAGGCUUUGAAGCACAUACGCCAGUAUGUGUGGAGCCGUCCUUGAAAUACCACCCUUGUAGUGUUGAUGUUCUAACGUCGACCCCUUAUCGGGGUUGCGGACAGUGCCUGGUGGGUAGUUUGACUGGGGCGGUCUCCUCCCAAAGAGUAACGGAGGAGCACGAAGGUGGGCUAAUCACGGUUGGACAUCGUGAGGUUAGUGCAAUGGCAUAAGCCCGCUUGACUGCGAGAAUGACAAUUCGAGCAGGUGCGAAAGCAGGUCAUAGUGAUCCGGUGGUUCUGAAUGGAAGGGCCAUCGCUCAACGGAUAAAAGGUACUCCGGGGAUAACAGGCUGAUACCGCCCAAGAGUUCAUAUCGACGGCGGUGUUUGGCACCUCGAUGUCGGCUCAUCACAUCCUGGGGCUGAAGUCGGUCCCAAGGGUAUGGCUGUUCGCCAUUUAAAGUGGUACGCGAGCUGGGUUUAGAACGUCGUGAGACAGUUCGGUCCCUAUCUGCCGUGGGCGUUGGAAGAUUGAAGGGGGCUGCUCCUAGUACGAGAGGACCGGAGUGGACGAACCUCUGGUGUUCGGGUUGUGUCGCCAGACGCAUUGCCCGGUAGCUAAGUUCGGAAUCGAUAACCGCUGAAAGCAUCUAAGCGGGAAGCGAGCCCUGAGAUGAGUCUUCCCUGAUACUUUAAGUAUCCUAAAGGGUUGUCGGAGACUACGACGUUGAUAGGUCAGGUGUGUAAGUGCUGUGAGGCAUUGAGCUAACUGAUACUAAUUGCCCGUGAGGCUUAACCAUACAACACCCAAGGGGUUU
Molecule: ribosomal RNA, 2916 nt
Filed under: Vibrio parahaemolyticus
Lineage: Bacteria; Pseudomonadati; Pseudomonadota; Gammaproteobacteria; Vibrionales; Vibrionaceae
Description: 23S ribosomal RNA
Rfam family: Bacterial large subunit ribosomal RNA
Source: RNAcentral